RNAcentral lists this ribosomal RNA (301 nucleotides) under uncultured bacterium. RNAcentral's name for it is "partial 16S ribosomal RNA". It matches the Rfam family "Bacterial small subunit ribosomal RNA", at positions 509 to 807 of the family's 1533-position model. The record is from RNAcentral.
CAGCCGCCGCGGUAAUACGUAGGUGGCAAGCGUUGUCCGGAAUUAUUGGGCGUAAAGGGCUCGCAGGCGGUUUCUUAAGUCUGAUGUGAAAGCCCCCGGCUCAACCGGGGAGGGUCAUUGGAAACUGGGAAACUUGAGUGCAGAAGAGGAGAGUGGAAUUCCACGUGUAGCGGUGAAAUGCGUAGAGAUGUGGAGGAACACCAGUGGCGAAGGCGACUCUCUGGUCUGUAACUGACGCUGAGGAGCGAAAGCGUGGGGAGCGAACAGGAUUAGAUAUCCCCGUAGUCCCUGUCUCUUAUAC